This is a long non-coding RNA of Tetranychus urticae (two-spotted spider mite), 930 nucleotides long. RefSeq lists it as uncharacterized. The record is from RefSeq and is a predicted model, not a curated record. Lineage: Eukaryota; Metazoa; Arthropoda; Arachnida; Trombidiformes; Tetranychidae.
AUGAGUCACAGUGAGUUAUUGAAAAGAGCGGUUUCUUUGCUCAGCUGUAACCAACGUUGAUUCAUUGAAUGAAUCCUUUUGUUCUGUGUUUUAUCUUAUCGUUUCUUUUUGUGUUUACAGGUUUAUUAACACGAUUACCUGUUAAUUUAACUGUCAAUAGAUUAGUGUUUAAUUGAUCAAUCAUCAAACUGAUAAUCAACCAAAUUGAACAAGGUCAAGGACGAGAAGACAAACGUUACUUGCUGGAAAUGAGUAACAGCAACAAAUCAGAUGUUUAUUAAUGGAUCCUCAAAAGGGGUUAACCAUCUUUCUUUUAAAAUUUUACAUCUAAUCAGACCGGAUAAUCUUAAUUACCAAAGAUGAUAAUCAGUUGAAGGUAAUCAGGUAUUAAUUUGGUUGACUGCAUAUUGAUAUUCACUUUGCAUGUUGAAUGGUGGUAACAAAAAACCGGAACCAAAUCAGUUAGAUACCAAUCUUGUUCAUUUAAAUAAUCGUGUUGAUCAUGAUUUGGAUAGGAUCAAUUACAAGAUGAAGACGAUAACCAACAACUCGAAGACUAUUUACAAUUGGUGCCAUUAUGGACAACAAUAUCCAAAUAACAAUGGAUCUUCGCUGUGAAGCAAUAGAAUGCCGAUUUCAACUCCAUUCCUAAACAUGUAUAAAUAGAUUUGCCUUUUGGUGGUUCAAUCUAUUUAUGAAUAUCUGAAUGACGAAAUGAAAAAGUAACAAAAAACUGAAGCUAAAAAACAUUUACAGAGGCUAGUGGUUAAUUCAUUGGGUAAACAGCCGUAGGUAAUAAGUGAACUUUACAGCUAUCUAACUGACAUCAUUGAGUCAAUUAACUUUCGUAUUGCAACAAUUUACGUAAAAUUCCAAUGGAAUGUCUCUAGUUUGGAAAUAAAUUGCAAGAUUUUCCUAAACCCAAAAAAA